GAGUUUGUAUCCUGGCUCAGAUUGAACGCUGGCGGCAGGCCUAACACAUGCAAGUCGAGCGGUAGAGAGAAGCUUGCUCCUCUUGAGAGCGGCGGACGGGUGAGUAAUGCCUAGGAAUCUGCCUGGUAGUGGGGGAUAACGCUCGGAAACGGACGCUAAUACCGCAUACGUCCUACGGGAGAAAGCAGGGGACCUUCGGGCCUUGCGCUAAUCAGAUGAGCCUAGGUCGGAUUAGCUAGUUGGUGAGGUAAUGGCUCUACCAAGGCGACGAUCCGUAACUGGUCUGAGAGGAUGAUCAGUCACACUGGAACUGAGACACGGUCCAGACU
Molecule: ribosomal RNA, 329 nt
Filed under: uncultured bacterium
Lineage: Bacteria
Description: bacterial SSU rRNA
Rfam family: Bacterial small subunit ribosomal RNA
Source: RNAcentral